UAAUUGGGUAGCAACAGCAACGUUUUCAAUUUCAAAUAUGUUUUUCUCACGAAGCAACAUUCGGCUUUUGCUAGCAAUCAUCGUUUCGAUCUCGUUGUUCCGUUUUGAUGUGUUGUUGAAUCCAGACUUUUCUUCGAAGUGAAGUAAGGUGGAAGAAGAGGAGUUCUUGGCAAAUAAGAUUAAACUCCAUUGUGUGCUGUGUUGGGAAGUAUUGUAGCUUGAGAAGAUUGAGCUCGGUGGAAGGAAAAAUUGAUGUGCUCUGAAUAUUUCAGAUCCUGUAAUUUUAAAUUUUGGCUGGUAUGCUUUUUGAUUAUCUAAAUACUACAACUGCCAGCACAAAAGAAACUCUACCUUCCUCAAUCGCAAUUGAACGCUUCGAAAUUGAAGGUUGCUCCGCCAUAAUUAAGAUCAUCAAUUGUAAGGCAGGCUGUAAGAUUUUGGCUUAGUAUAUGCAGAUGGAUAACAAGAUUAGUAUAGUUGCUACGAUGUCGAUUCCAUUAGGUUCACGUCAAAUGGCCGGUAAUUUGUAUCUGGUGGAGAAGAUAAUACGGUAAAGGACAAAAUUCUACAACGUACAUAUCAGUCAUGUAUGAAUUUUGUUUUCCUACAGCCCUCAAACCCUCUUAUGCACAAAAUUUAUAAUUAACGAUAUACUUCUUAUUUACUUAGUAGGUUUCUUUGCUAGUAGGAUUUGCUGACGAAGCUUCGAUCUAUUUUUUCUAAUUGUGCAGAUGCAAUAUGUAUUCUCCUUUUAGUAUUCCAAUUUCCUCUUUAACUGAUACAUUCUAUUUUGUGAUUUUCUUGCAUUUGCUUAUAACAUGUUUGACUUUUAUUGCUAUACACAUGCUGGGAUAAGCAAGUACUUUUUUAAACUUUGCCUUAUAUUUUUAUGGAAUCGACCAAGUGUUCAAUCACGAUACCUCAUUAAGAAAAAUCAUUUGAGGAAAUUUAUUUACUCUAUUAAGAACUUUGGUUGAUGCUCAGCUUGAUAAUGAGCCUGAGUUCCAUAUCACAGGUUCAUGUAUUUUUCAGUUUUGCUGUUGCGUAAAUCUCUUGAAAAUGGACGUGAAAGAGACCUUUCGUUAAGGAAAACUUAAAAAUAACCUUAAUGAGCAGUUCUUGAAUGGUGACUUUACUGUUUAUUAUUGGUUGUUUCUAACUUAGUUACAAAGUAAUCAGUAUCGCCUAUUUGCAUACACGUUCUGAAAAUCAGUUCUGUUCCUUGUUACUUUGCUCCUAUCCUUGGUUAUUCGUUUUUUCAAGUGAAAAAAUAAACCUUAUAGAACAAAUUUUGUUGAUGGUGAAAAGUCAAUAGAUACUAAUGCUGCUUUGGUAGAUGUAUGUUUGUAUGCUCCGCUACUACUUACACUGGUCACUUGUGAGGAUUAGGGAAAUAUUUUAAGGUACAUCCCAUUAUUAGAGAAUUUUUUGGUUUUACUGAAGAUCAUAGGUGUUUCAUAGACUUUGUUGAAGAUAAUAGAUAAGUAGCUCAAGCAUAUUUUAUAUACCAAGGCAGCACUAAUUUCUUGGCUAAAGACAAACUUCAUGUAGUUUAUAUGUCAACACUAAUUAAAAAAAUUGAUCUAAUAAUGCGCAUUGUUAAAAUUAUUAAUAUUUUUUCCUCAUUGGUUUUAUGUACCUCACAUUUUUUCAAAGUGAGAAUAUUCUUCUCAAAGUUACUACGAAUCUCGAUUCCAAACAUGUUCAGGAUGAUAGAUCUUUUACUUCCAUAAUUUAGUUGAGUCAGCUGGGAUAGGAGGCAUUUGCGGGGGAUAUGAAUGGAGUAAUGAUAAUGGCUUCCCAUUUCCCUGUCGCUAAUAUCAGCAACUACUUGGCAGAGGCAAAGGCUACAUCUUUUGGACUGAAUUGAUGCAGGAACAAUGGCUUGAGGCAUAACAUUCUAGAAUGCGAUUCUCUUUCGGUUGUAAAUAUGUGACCGGGAAAGAGCAAUACUCCACGGGAGAUAAAAGACACAAUAUAGGAGGCGAAGAUUCAUAUUGAACAUGGUGAUUGCAAGAUUAAACAUUGUUACAGAGAAGCUAAUCAGGUUACAAAUGCGUUGGCUAAAUGGAGUAUAGGAACAUGG
This is a long non-coding RNA of Lycium ferocissimum, 2086 nucleotides long. RefSeq lists it as uncharacterized. The record is from RefSeq and is a predicted model, not a curated record. NCBI's taxonomy places the organism in Eukaryota, Viridiplantae, Streptophyta, Magnoliopsida, Solanales, Solanaceae. The transcript has 4 exons.